This 68-nucleotide transfer RNA is filed under the name Paraona staudingeri. RNAcentral's name for it is "tRNA-Asn". Lineage: Eukaryota; Metazoa; Arthropoda; Insecta; Lepidoptera; Erebidae. The record is from RNAcentral.
UUAAUUGAAACCAAAAAGAGGUAUAUCACUGUUAAUGAUACUAGUGAAUUAAUUAAAUUCCAAUUAAA